This 3330-nucleotide unclassified non-coding RNA is filed under the name Mizuhopecten yessoensis (Yesso scallop). RNAcentral's name for it is "uncharacterized LOC110458968, transcript variant X2". The record is from RNAcentral. Lineage: Eukaryota; Metazoa; Mollusca; Bivalvia; Pectinida; Pectinidae.
GUCACACAUCAUUUGAAUCCCGGCCAAUGUUAUGACGUCUUAUUUAAGAGUUGCGAAAUGUUUUAAGAACGCUUAGUUAGAUACAUUUUUGUAUUGCGUUUUAGGCAUAUCUUCAUGUCUAAAAAUUGUUUCUCGUUUUCAAGGCACAGACGUGAAUGAUACCUAAUCACGAGCUACGAUCUUUAUAACGCUGACGACAUGCAAAACGACCCUCGGGAGCAGACGAUAGGAAUUCUGACUGUGACAACUGAUUCAGAUGAUUCUUAUUUAAGAAGGGUACAUGUAUUUAUCUACGAUGACAGUGAACGCUCAAUGAAAUAUAUUCGACUGAUUUCAAAUAGCUUCAUGUUUGACGGACACCUGGUCGAAUCAUAUCAACUUCUAAGAGGAGACCUUCCCGGAUACAGACCUCUAUCGGAAGCGAACGUGAGCAUUGUGCUAUUCCCAGAGAUCUAUCGGACAGACUCCGGCUUACUUAAACUAAUAGCCAAUGUUUUGUGUGACAAGGGAAAAGUAAAUGCACGAAAGUUACUGUUGGCUAAGUUUGACGAUUCGGUGAUACCAUCGUAUUUAGAAUUCGAAGAUGAUCUCGAUCUUACCAAAGACACGUGGAUGGAAACCCUGCAGACACGGAUCGGCUACACAACGUAAAUGGUCAGGUUUGGUAAGAGUGAAAGUAUUGGAGACCAUCUAGACGAUAUAAAGGUUGAUUCGAUGAACAUACAGAAGAGUCCUAAAAUUCGUUAUGACCAUCCCGCCCAACAUUUGGUGACGCCCGAGGACGACACAUGUAUAUACAUGGUACGCGGAGACACCAGUGACGAGUUAGAUACCUCCAGACAAAUCACAAAUCUCCUCUCCAUCGCGGGAGGAUAUAUUUGUGAAUCAUUUUCUACAUCUGAUCAGGCCAUUCAAUUUUUACCACAGUUUUUGCGUUGCUUUCCGAAAUUACAAACCGUAGUUCUGAUCUUGGAAACAAUAUACGGUGCCAAAUCUAAGGCGUCUGACUACGGUAUUCUACUGCGGGAGAACAGUGACAUUGUGGUUCUUUCGAUUGAAUUAUGUCAUCUCCGAGGACCACACGACUGCAUACAUACGUCAGAUCGAAAACCAGGCCACAUCAAACUUAUUGGAAAGUAUAGGGAUUGGUACAGAUUGAUACUCGACGAAGUUAAAAAUGUCGUGAAAAAGAAUGCCCCAGCGAAGAUGAGAUAUGUUGGCAGAGUGAUGAACGCAGUGAAUGAUGCAGCCGUAGUAACCAGAAAAAACUGCAAGCCUCGGCCUGUCUGUCGUGCGACACGUAACAAGAGGAAUGCUUUGCCGACGAUACUGACUCCAGAUGAUAGCGUCAACAUUCCAUUGCUAGACGUAUAUGACCCCAAAGCAGAUGGGAAUCAGUUGCCAGCAGAUUCAAGUUGGACAAAUCCAUCACAUCAGGCAGUUCGGAGAAGCUUUCCAGCAGAUUCCGAUACGUGCUGGACUCGUUUGGCACCCCUAGCAGUCAGGAAUCACUUACUAGCAGAUUCAAAGCUAAGGAAGGAGAACUCACAUCUGGUAUGGAGAAAGAUACCCAAUACCAGUCAAUGUUUGAGUUAUUUGAUGCUGAUAAAGACGGGAGUAUUACACUAGAUGAGCUCUGCGACGUGGUAAAACAACUCGGGCUUGACUGGGAGAAAGACGUUAUCGAAAACGACAUGAAAAAGUUCGACAUAGAUGGGAAUGGUACGAUAGAAAUAGGCGAAUUUUUGACGAUGAUGGAAUCCUACAAGGUUGAUCCGGAAAAAGAGAUAAGACAGAUGUUUGACGUCAUCGAUAAGGAUCGGGAUGGAUCGAUAACGACAGAAGAAAUCUUGCGGACAUGGGAAAGCAUUGGCUUCGAAUGUACAAUGCAGGAAGUCAAACGUAUGAUCGCUGAUGGGGCGAAGACCACAAUGGCGUCAUCCACUUUGAAGAGUUCAAGAAGAUGUGCAAGAAAUUAAAAAUCCACCAGACUGGACCAGCUUCCAAGGGAGGACAUUAACGUUAUGAUGAAACGUACAUUAACCCUAUCACCCCUAUGUAACUUUAGUAGACUCUACCAGACAUUGAUCUGGAUGAGUCCAUUAUGGUCUACAGUGGUGAAAGGCAUAACAAAUGUUUUAUAGUGAACAUAACCAUGAUUGAGCCAAUCUCUGAAUAUCCAGAUUCAAUGUCGGUGGAAGAAAAUAUACAUGACAUGUACAGAGGGCCUUAUCGGUUAUAUGAGAGCAUCUGAAUUGGCCAGAAAUUGGUUUACUGUUGCAAUAUUUUAACAACUGGAUGCGAACAGUGUGUGUUUUGGUUAAUUUUAGCAAUAAUCUUGUAGAAAUCUCUUCCUGUUAUAACUGAUGCAAACAAUAGUAGGCAUAGAAUGUUUAAGUUGUAUAUUGAAAGAAAAAAUAAAAUCUUAAGUUUUAGUUCAGGGGUUGAAUUAGAUUCCGGAGCCAAUCGGGUUUGGUUUUAUUUUGAUUCACGUCCUAUCAACAGCUAAGGUCAUAUAAGGUCAUAUAAGGACGUGCCUCUAUAUAUAUAUAUACGUAUGUCGUGUAUGCAUUUUCUAUGAUUGAUAGAAAAUGAGUAGAAGGGAGACAGUAUGGAGUGAAUGGAUAGAAGAGAGAGGGAGCCGUCUGUCCUAUAUGUUUUAACUGUAUAUGACUAGUUUUUUUAAGAUGGCUCCUAGGCCUAAUGUUGCCUUAUCCCAACACUAGUCGUUAGCAGCACCAAGUCUGGACCGGUAGUGAGGUAGAAAGCCGCCAACAUUAACACCAGCUCCUAACUAUUUCAUACAUUUGGUUUGUAUAUAAAAUUUUAAAGUCCUUCUAAAUGUCUUAAAUAAAAAAAACUAGUUCUAACGGUCGAACAUUUGGAAUAAAGCUUACCCUAACAUCUGUCCAGGCGUUUACGCGCUUACUCGUUUUCGAAAAACUCUGAGGGAUCUUUUUCAUACCACCAUUUAUAGUCCCAUCCGACGGACUGCGUGUUAGUGGUUAGAGUAAUGCAGGUGCUGUUUUUUGUUGUUGUCCGUUCAUGUUAUCCACUCUUCGUCUUUCGUCAUUUAAAAUAAAGCUGACUGAACUUUACCAACGUCCUCUUUCUUAUAAACCUUUUCUUGUCUUUCACCUGAUCCUAUUCCUCUUUCCGACAUUUACGUUUUUUGUUAAAGCGUGAUUAUUAGUGAGGAUAGGAGGGGAGAGAGAGUGUACAAUCGUUACGAUUUAGUAUGUGGGUGGGGCAGGGGGGUAUGAAAGAAGUGAAGGGAACCAUGGAGAUGUGUUGUUUGAAGGGGAGAGGAGAUGGGCCUUUAUUAUAAUA